UACGUAGGGCGCAAGCGUUGUCCGGAUUUAUUGGGCGUAAAGAGCUCGUAGGCGGUCUGUCGCGUCGGCUGUGAAACCCCGAGGCUCAACCUCGGGCCUGCAGUCGAUACGGGCAGACUAGAGUGUGGUAGGGGAGACUGGAAUUCCUGGUGUAGCGGUGAAAUGCGCAGAUAUCAGGAGGAACACCGGUGGCGAAGGCGGGUCUCUGGGAAGUAACUGACGCUGAGAAGCGAAAGCGUGGGUAGCGAACAGG
Molecule: ribosomal RNA, 253 nt
Filed under: uncultured bacterium
Lineage: Bacteria
Description: partial 16S ribosomal RNA
Rfam family: Bacterial small subunit ribosomal RNA
Source: RNAcentral